GAAAAAUUCAUUUUAACAUUGUUUCUGUAUACCCAUAUAUGCAUGUGUUUUUCCUUUCUGUUCUUAUGUGAAUUUUUAUGGCCUAAGAGUAAUGGCAAGCAGGUGAUUCACGGAGACUGUGGGCUCAGGGGAAUGACACCUGGAGGGAAAACAGAUGUCUGAGUGUGACCUGAGGGGGUCACUGGGCCAUAUAGUGGGGGAGCAGUGCUUAGGGAUGACCUGAGGGGGUCACCCAGGUCCUAAAUGUGUGGGAAGGGAUUCACAGAGAAUGUGUUUUAUGUUAUCUAUGGAAAUUUUCAGCUGUUCAGUGUGUGCAACCUUGGAAGAGCAGAGGUAUAUAAGGCAGAGGAUUGCCCUCUUCCUGGGUCGGUUUCACUCUGCAGAAACUCAGUGUUGCGGUAUGACUGUCUGACCUUCUUUGCAAAGAAAAAAAGCUUUCUUUUUUAAUUAUACCUGAGAAUGAGUCUGUCUCUUAUGCUAAUGAGAGUUGAUUUAAAUUUUGCUACGACAAUUUGGUGUCAGAACGUGGGAUUCCUUGGAUGUGUCUUUUGGACCUGUGAGCGGACGGUGACUGAUCAUCCUGAACAAUAGAAGUUCAGCCCUCACCCCGAUUAGAUUUGAGGGAGAAAGGGACCGACCGCCGAGGCCCGGAGGAGACACCACUGGAAUCAGGAAAGAACCGGAGUGGCAACAGAGCUCUCGGUUCCCGGUGACCGAGGUGCAAGCCGCGAAAAUGGACCCCGAUCUCGACUGCUCUCCACCGAGAAGACCAACAGCACUGUGGCCAAAUCCAGAAUGGAGACAAGAAGCAGCGGAAGACCCAGAUAUCAUUCCUGAAACCCCCAACGAGGAAAUUGAAGAGGAAAUAGUGCGCAGAGCACCCCCGACAAAGAAAAGUCAAACAGCGAAAGAAGAAAAUGCGAGUAUAACAGCUCCAUUGAUUGAAGUUUCUGGCCCUGACGGCCCUGUUAUGGUCUUUAGACCAUGGACUAUAACGGACAUGAAGGAAGCGAUGGCUCACUUGCUGAGCCCUGACGAAGCAGGUGAUACAUUUUCUACCGAAUUAGUCACCUUCUGCCAAGAAUUCAGCCCUACCGUGUAAGAACUGAGGAGGCCGCUGGCAGUGAAACUGGGGGCUACGAGCAGGCAUGAAGUGAGUGGAGAGCUGCAGAAAGAGGACUGUCGGAGAGAACACUGUGAAUGGAAAAGUGGAUGGCUAUCUGCUGUUUUAGCACACGCUUUGCAUGCAGAGGAGAUGCAGACGGCGAAGAAGGAAAGAGUUAAAGCCAAGACCAACAGAGAGUGGCAGCUGGUGUUUGUGCAAGCCGUGUCGAAGCCAGGGGGCUAUUCUGCGCAGCAAAACCAGCAAUCGAAAUCGGGAAGAUGGAAAAGAGGAGGAGAAAGAUAUCCGAACGAAACUGAAAGAAACUCUGAAAGAUGGGGUUGUCGGAUCUGUAAGACUGAUGAACAUAAGACAUUCAGGUGUACAAGAUACAGACUGUGCAAAAAAGGAUGGUCAUUGGGCCGAGGAUUGCCCAGAGAACCGGCAAAAUCAACAAGCAGACUGAAGCGAGGGAGACGGAGAGCAGAGAGGAGGGGUCCUGGGCGAGCAACCAACAGUCACAAGUCAGGCAAGUGAAAAUGUUCUAACCGCAAACACAUACACAUACACUGAUGUACUUUCUGCUCUCUGCAAUGAAGAAAACGCUUGCUUUCCUUUGUGUACGUCUGAUUCUGUUGAUAAGCAUCCUGACAAAUGUGCUAUUAUGUUUAAAAGUGAAGCUUUUAUGAAAAUGCCUAAAUAUCCUAUGCUAGUGGAGGGGAUAUUGAUUGAGUUUUUAGCUGAUAUAUAAUAUAUAUAUAUAUAUAUAUAUAUAUAUAUACAGCCAUGUGAUUUGCAAUGCCAACCACAAUUAACAGGUGAAAUGAAUGAGUCAAUUUCUGCAUCAGGGCACGUAAUUUGUGAAAGGUUCACAGUGCCUCUGAGGGGGUGAGGCAUGCUUUUCUCUAUACCCCUGCAUGUCCAGUGCCUUUGAUGGGGAGAAAUUUGUUGUGCAAACUAAAUUUGACGUUGACCGCAGACUCUGGGGGUGUCCGAAUGACAGAGAAAGAGCAGAUUUGCUGUCUGCAACACAGAACCAAAAUGGGCAUAUGAAUGGCACAUCAUAAAUUCUGAUUGGGCUGAAAUGAUAUGUGAACUGGCUAAAGAUAGAACAAAACCAUUUGAUAGAGAAAUCAUGUUUCCUGACAAAUUGCAUUGCACGUCACAUGUUGUAGUACAACCAGAUGGCCAGUAUGAAAAAGGUUUGAGGGAGGAAAAGGAGAAACUUUACAUUUUGAGAAAAUGUUUUAGACAGUAAAUGUGUGUUCAGUCUCAGUUUGCCUGACAGAAAAACAGUUUCAGUUUUACUUAAUGGAAGAUUCUGUGCCUCACUUAUCGCUUUCCAAGGACAGGAGCCAGACAGGGCCCAGAUUAGACUUGUUUGUGAAAAACUGUGUUUAUGCCAAAGACUGGAGACAGAUAGGGGAGGGAGUGAAACACAGUGAGAGUCUGGGAGUGUUUAUGACUGAGUGCAAGCAUGACAUUGAGACAGAGAGAGUUGUGGUACCCAUUGACAAAAGAAAGAGGGGGAAUCAUUGCAUGACAGUUAUUUUUGCCUUCAGAUAUACAUCCAGUAUUAACAAAAGUGCCAUCAGAGUUAUGGGCAAAACACAAAUAUGAUUUGGGUUUGAUUAAAGGACGUGAACCAGUUGUGGUCACCCCAAAAUCUGAUUACAGACCAUGUCAACAUCAAUACCCUCUAAAACAAGAGGCAAUUCUUGGUAUAAAAACAGUGUUUGAGUCACUAUUAAAAGAGGGGAUGGUGCUGUGCAAUGAUUCUCCAGUUCGCACUCCAAUUUUUCCUGUAAAUAAAAAUAAGGGAUGUGGGUCAGCCCACAGAGUGGCGAUUUGUACAGGAUUUACAGGCUGUAAGCGCUGCUGACAGGCAAAGAGCUCCAUCAGUACCAAAUCCAUACACAAUUUCGUCACAAAUACCACAAGAUGCAACAUUCUUCUCAGUGGUAGAUUUGGCAAAUGCAUUUUUUAGUGUGCCAGUUGAUAAAGACAGCCAAUUCUGAUUUGCAUUUGAAUUUGAGGGCAAAGGUUACAAUGAAGCCCUAAGAAGGAGUUUGGAAGCUUUGACCCUGACAGCAGGUACAGCUUUGUUACAGUAUGUGGAUGAUCUUUGCUUGUGUGCUCGUGAUGAGCUUAAAUGUGUAAACUGACACUGUGACCGUCCUGAAGCAUCUGGCUCGGGAGGGCCAUAAACUCAGCCUGACAAAACUGGAGUUCGUGAAACAACAGAUUACAUUCCUGGGGCAUGUAAUAACACUGAAUAGCAAAUCACUGUCUGAAAAAGGGGUUAAAGAGAGGUCCCAAAACCAGUAAUAACAAAUAAACAAAUGCUUAAUUUUGGGGAUGUGUUCCUACUGUAGAACAUCUAUUCCAAAUUAUGCAAUUUUUGAGCUGCCCCUGAGAGCCCUGAGAGGGAAGGGGUUGAAUUUAUAUUACAGGAUUGAGUUGACAGAGAAAGCGGGAGAGGCAUUACUGAACAUGAAAGUUCAGCUGUCUGUUGCGCCAACUCUGGGCUUGCAGGCUCCAAAUAAACCCUUUGUUCAGAUGGUUGAUGAGAAAAAUGUAUUUAUGAAUUCUGUAUUGUUGCAGCAUCAUGGAGACAAACUGAGACCUGUGUCAUAUUUUUCUAGCAAAUUAGACCCAGAAUUCGUAGGUUACUCUGAUUUGACAUUGAUGGUGUCUCACGCAGUGUCCAUGAUUUUGCAGGAAUAGAAAACAUCACACUAUCGACAGCACAAUGUUUAAGAUAUCAAACUAUUCUGCUUGAUGUACUUGAUAUCACUGUUAAGCAAUGCACGACCUUGAAUGCUGCUACUCUCCUCCCAACAGAAGAGGAUGGGGAAGAGCAUCAUUGUCGUUUAACAGCACUUGAACAAGUGUGUACACCACGUCCAGACCUGUCUGACGUGCCACUCGAAAAUUGUGAAAAUGUCCUCUUUGUGGAUGGCUCAGCUUUUAAAGAUCCAAAAAUAGGCCUGAAUAAGGUUGGUUAUGCGACAACUGAAUUUGACAUUGUGGCCUCUGGCUCAUUGCCAUCAAAUUAUUCAGCACAAGCAGCUGAGCUUGUGGCAUUAACAGAAGCAUGCAAACUAAUGACAGACAAAUGUGUAACGAUUUACACAGAUUUACUAGACGAUAUGCAUUUGGAGUUACUCAUGAUUUUGGUGCGCUGUGAAAACAGAGAAAGCUUUUAAAGUCAGAUGGGCGACCAAUAUUAAAUGCACCCCUCGUGGCAGAUUUGCUAGACGCUAUUUUGCUGCCAGAAAAGAUAGCCAUUUGUAAAUGUGCAGCGCAUACUAAUAACAAAGAUUCUGUAUCUACAGGAAAUGUCAGAGCAGACGCAGCGUCGAAGGCUGAAGCAUCUCAGCAGACAAAAUCACCAGAGUGUACUUUGUUAUCUGAAAAUAACCCUGACAUUUCUUCAUCUUUACAGGACAUGCAGACAUUUGCGACAGGGCAGGAGAGAGAGAAAUGGAAACAGUGUGGUUGUGAGGUGGUGAAUGGAGUAUGGAUGAGUGGAGAUGGCAAGCCUUGUUUACCUAAACACUUCUUUCCUCACUAUGCUAAGUCGAUGCAUGGGAAAGACCACGCAUCGAAAGGGGGAAUGAUUAUGCAAAUUAAAGAAUUGUGGUUUACAAAAGGGUUAAAAAAUGUAUGCAGAAAAUUUUUGAAAAAGAUUUGUCAUUUGUAAUAAUGUGGCAAGAGGCAUAAAAAUGUCUCAUGUAUCCCAGACAGCACAGAUGGAUUUCAUUGAACUGUUUCCAUGUGAAGGGAAGGAACAAUGGUUUGGUAUUUGUGGACAUGUGGUCCAAAUGGGUAGUGGUCUGCCCAAUGUCCAAACAGGAUGCAGCAGCAGUAGUAAGGGCUCUGCUGACUGAAAUAGUCCCGAGAUGGGGACAUUCCACGAAAAAGCAGUUCGGGCAAUGAAACACAUUUUGUGUAGGGGCAAUAAAAACCUAAUUGGCUAAGUGUUGUGAGAAAACUGGACUCACAUGGGUUAAGGUGCUCCCAAUCGUUCUCAUGUACAUGAGAAUGAGAAAUCGAUCCAGAGUAAACCUGAGCCCUUUUGAAAUUCUCUUUGGCAAACCGAAAUUUGUGAGUAUUGAAAGUGGGUAAACAACAGCUACCAUCUACAGGUGUGUGAGCAUGACACGUUGAGUUAUUGCAAGGAAAUGUCUUUUCUGUUGUCUAAUGUCUGUGUUCAGGUGAAAGCUGCUCAGGAGAAGGUUGCUGAACCACCGUUGCACAACCUGAAACCAGGGGAUUUCGUGGUGGUACGUGAUCUGAGGAGAAAGAGCUGGAAGGCGAAAAGGUGGCUGGGACCGUUCCAGGUGCUUCUGACCACUCACACGGCUGUGAAGCGAGCAGAGAGAGCAACGUGGAUCCAGGCUAGCCACUGCAGAAAGGUCCCACCUGCAUCUGAGGAGGAGGAGCUGAGGGAGUAAGGAUCUGGAGAAACACACGUCAACAAGGCCAAGAAUCCAGCCUAAACAUGAGAAUGGCCGUAAAAGAGCCUGAACGUACACAUAAUGCUGCUAAAUGAUUUUUGCUGCUAUUAUGUCUACUAUGUAUUUUUAGUUGAUAUCCAGCUCAGUACAGAGACUGGUGAAAUCUAGUGUUUCACAUCAAAUGGUUCAAAUGACUGUGUACAACGUAGACGUUAUCAUGGAUUUGAGUAGGGAGAAAACUACUUAUGAAGGGACAAACAGUAGUGGAAGCUACAGUGAAAUGUGUUAAAUGUAUGAGAUUUAUGAGAUUUUUUUUUCUUUGAAGUAAGAAAUGUUCAGGCCUAUCUGAAUGUAUACUGUUUGUUUGCUUGAAAUAGGGUCUGUCCCCAUAUAAAAAGCCUUAGCAUAUUUUCUAAAUUCUUUUACAAACUUAAGAGGGUGAUCAUUUAUGCUAAGAUCAGGGGGUGAAGAGUAUAAAUGUGAUGAAAUGCCUUAAGUUUGCUUUAUUUUGAAUCAUGUUUGUAUUUCUGAGUGUGAAAUUUUUGAUUUUGGAUCGUGUUUGUAUCUGCGACGUGACUGAGGGUCUGACUAAAUGUCAGGAAUGCAGUAGCAGUGACUUACUCGUUUAGCCCGGCGCCCAGAGCAAACAUAAUAUUAAGUGUGUAGUGAGAAUAUAAUCAGUAGUAAUGAAUUUUUUAUGUUUGAUUGAUCAAUGAAUGAUAAAAAGAGGGAAAUUGUGGUGGGAAAUUCAUUUUAACAUUGUUUCUGUAUACCCAUAUAUGCAUGUGUUUUUCCUUUCUGUUCUUAUGUGAAUUUUUAUGGCCUAAGAGUAAUGGCAAGCAGGUGAUUCACGGAGACUGUGGGCUCAGGGGAAUGACACCUGGAGGGAAAACAGAUGUCUGAGUGUGACCUGAGGGGGUCACUGGGCCAUAUAGUGGGGGAGCAGUGCUUAGGGAUGACCUGAGGGGGUCACCCAGGUCCUAAAUGUGUGGGAAGGGAUUCACAGAGAAUGUGUUUUAUGUUAUCUAUGGAAAUUUUCAGCUGUUCAGUGUGUGCAACCUUGGAAGAGCAGAGGUAUAUAAGGCAGAGGAUUGCCCUCUUCCUGGGUCGGUUUCACUCUGCAGAAACUCAGUGUUGCGGUAUGACUGUCUGACCUUCUUUGCAAAGAAUAAAAGCUUUCUUUUUUAAUUA
Molecule: long non-coding RNA, 6756 nt
Organism: Carassius gibelio (silver crucian carp)
Lineage: Eukaryota; Metazoa; Chordata; Actinopteri; Cypriniformes; Cyprinidae
Exons: 2
Source: RefSeq, a predicted model, not a curated record